RNAcentral lists this transfer RNA (76 nucleotides) under Verrucomicrobiota bacterium JB023. RNAcentral's name for it is "tRNA-Trp". It matches the Rfam family "tRNA". Rfam says of the family: Transfer RNA (tRNA) molecules are approximately 80 nucleotides in length. Lineage: Bacteria; Pseudomonadati; Verrucomicrobiota. The record is from RNAcentral.
AGGAUGGUAGCUCAAUUGGUAGAGCAUCGGUUUCCAAAACCGAGGGUUGCGGGUUCGAGUCCUGUCCAUCCUGCCA